UACGUAGGGGGCAAGCGUUGUCCGGAUUUAUUGGGCGUAAAGAGCUCGUAGGCGGUUUGGUAAGUCAGGUGUGAAAUCUCCACGCUCAACGUGGAGGGGCCACCUGAUACUGCCAUGACUGGAGUCCGGUAGAGGAGUGUGGAAUUCCCGGUGUAGCGGUGAAAUGCGUAGAUAUCUGGAGGAACACCGGUGGCGAAGGCGGCAUCCUGGACCAACACUGACGCUGAGGAGCGAAAGCCAGGGAGCAAACGGG
Molecule: ribosomal RNA, 253 nt
Filed under: uncultured bacterium
Lineage: Bacteria
Description: partial 16S ribosomal RNA
Rfam family: Bacterial small subunit ribosomal RNA
Source: RNAcentral